RNAcentral lists this small nuclear RNA (20 nucleotides) under Arabidopsis thaliana (thale cress). RNAcentral describes it as "snRNA_14808". The record is from RNAcentral. Lineage: Eukaryota; Viridiplantae; Streptophyta; Magnoliopsida; Brassicales; Brassicaceae.
AUCACAAAAAGCCUGCUAAA